CGCUGGCGGCGUGCUUAACACAUGCAAGUCGAACGGAAAGGCCCUGCUUUUGUGGGGUGCUCGAGUGGCGAACGGGUGAGUAACACGUGAGUAACCUGCCCUUGACUUUGGGAUAACUUCAGGAAACUGGGGCUAAUACCGGAUAGGAGCUCCUGCUGCAUGGUGGGGGUUGGAAAGUUUCGGCGGUUGGGGAUGGACUCGCGGCUUAUCAGCUUGUUGGUGGGGUAGUGGCUUACCAAGGCUUUGACGGGUAGCCGGCCUGAGAGGGUGACCGGCCACAUUGGGACUGAGAUACGGCCCAGACUCCUACGGGAGGCAGCAGUGGGGAAUAUUGCACAAUGGGCGGAAGCCUGAUGCAGCAACGCCGCGUGCGGGAUGACGGCCUUCGGGUUGUAAACCGCUUUCGCCUGUGACGAAGCGUGAGUGACGGUAAUGGGUAAAGAAGCACCGGCUAACUACGUGCCAGCAGCCGCGGUGAUACGUAGGGUGCGAGCGUUGUCCGGAUUUAUUGGGCGUAAAUGGCUCGUAGGUGGUUGAUCGCGUCGGAAGUGUAAUCUUGGGGCUUAACCCUGAGCGUGCUUUCGAUACGGGUUGACUUGAGGAAGGUAGGGGAGAAUGGAAUUCCUGGUGGAGCGGUGGAAUGCGCAGAUAUCAGGAGGAACACCAGUGGCGAAGGCGGUUCUCUGGGCCUUUCCUGACGCUGAGGAGCGAAAGCGUGGGGAGCGAACAGGCUUAGAUACCCUGGUAGUCCACGCUGUAAACGGUGGGUACUAGGUGUGGGGUCCAUUCCACGGGUUCCGUGCCGUAGCUAACGCUUUAAGUACCCCGCCUGGGGAGUACGGCCGCAAGGCUAAAACUCAAAGGAAUUGACGGGGCCCCGCACAAGCGGCGGAGCAUGCGGAUUAAUUCGAUGCAACGCGUAGAACCUUACCUGGGUUUGACAUGGAUCGGGAGUGCUCAGAGAUGGGUGUGCCUCUUUUGGGGUCGGUUCACAGGUGGUGCAUGGCUGUCGUCAGCUCGUGUCGUGAGAUGUUGGGUUAAGUCCCGCAACGAGCGCAACCCUUGUUCACUGUUGCCAGCACGUUAUGGUGGGGACUCAGUGGAGACCGCCGGGGUCAACUCGGAGGAAGGUGGGGAUGACGUCAAGUCAUCAUGCCCCUUAUGUCCAGGGCUUCACGCAUGCUACAAUGGCUGGUACAGAGAGUGGCGAGCCUGUGAGGGUGAGCGAAUCUCGGAAAGCCGGUCUCAGUUCGGAUUGGGGUCUGCAACUCGACCUCAUGAAGUCGGAGUCGCUAGUAAUCGCAGAUCAGCAACGCUGCGGUGAAUACGUUCCCGGGGCUUGUACACACCGCCCGUCAAGUCAUGAAAGUUGGUAACACCCGAAGCCGGUGGCCUAACCGUUGUGGGGGAGCCGUCGAAGGUGGGACUGGUGAUUAGGA
RNAcentral lists this ribosomal RNA (1439 nucleotides) under uncultured organism. RNAcentral's name for it is "partial small subunit ribosomal RNA". It matches the Rfam family "Bacterial small subunit ribosomal RNA". The record is from RNAcentral.